UGAGGAAUAUUGGUCAAUGGGCGGGAGCCUGAACCAGCCAAGCCGCGUGAGGGAAGAAGGCGCUCAGCGUCGUAAACCUCUUAGCCGGGGAACAAAGAGCUUCUCGUGAAGGAGCGUUGAGCGUACCCGGAGAAUAAGCAUCGGCUAACUCCGUGCCAGCAGCCGCGGUAAUACGGAGGAUGCGAGCGUUAUCCGGAUUUAUUGGGUUUAAAGGGUGCGCAGGCGGACGCGCAAGUCUGCGGUCAAAUUCCGGGGCUCAACCCCGGACCGCCGUGGAAACUGUGCGACUAGAGUGGGCGAGAGGCAUGCGGAAUGCGCGGUGUAGCGGUGAAAUGCUUAGAGAUCGCGCAGAACUCCGAUUGCGAAGGCAGCAUGUCGGCGCCUUACUGACGCUCAUGCACGAAAGCGUGGGGAUCGAACAGGAUUAGAUACC
RNAcentral lists this ribosomal RNA (433 nucleotides) under uncultured bacterium. RNAcentral's name for it is "bacterial SSU rRNA". It matches the Rfam family "Bacterial small subunit ribosomal RNA", at positions 355 to 786 of the family's 1533-position model. The record is from RNAcentral.